GACGAACGCUGGCGGCGUGCCUAAUACAUGCAAGUAGAACGCUGAAGAGAGGAGCUUACUCUUCUUGGAUGAGUUGCGAACGGGUGAGUAACGCGUAGGUAACCUGCCUUGUAGCGGGGGAUAACUAUUGGAAACGAUAGCUAAUACCGCAUAACAAUGGAUGACACAUGUCAUUUAUUUGAAAGGGGCAAUUGCUCCACUACAAGAUGGACCUGCGUUGUAUUAGCUAGUAGGUGAGGUAAUGGCUCACCUAGGCGACGAUACAUAGCCGACCUGAGAGGGUGAUCGGCCACACUGGGACUGGGACACGGCCCCGACUCCUACGGGAGGCAGCAGUAGGGAAUCUUCGGCAAUGGGGGCAACCCUGACCGAGCAACGCCGCGUGAGUGAAGAAGGUUUUCGGAUCGUAAAGCUCUGUUGUAAGUCAAGAACGGGUGUGAGAGUGGAAAGUUCACACUGUGACGGUAGCUUACCAGAAAGGGACGGCUAACUACGUG
RNAcentral lists this ribosomal RNA (497 nucleotides) under uncultured bacterium. RNAcentral's name for it is "partial 16S ribosomal RNA". It matches the Rfam family "Bacterial small subunit ribosomal RNA", at positions 28 to 507 of the family's 1533-position model. The record is from RNAcentral.